Lontra canadensis (Northern American river otter) is the source of this 314-nucleotide long non-coding RNA. RefSeq lists it as uncharacterized. The transcript has 3 exons. The record is from RefSeq and is a predicted model, not a curated record. NCBI's taxonomy places the organism in Eukaryota, Metazoa, Chordata, Mammalia, Carnivora, Mustelidae.
CACCAGUUUUCUUCCAUCUCUCACAUUCCCUCCAUCUGCAAUUCAUUCUUCAUCUCUUUCCAUUGUUGGAGUUCAACAUAUUCAUUUCAUAGUCUUCUCUUCUGGACUUCAUCUCUUCCUCCCUCCUGUACGACCAUUUCUGUUGGAGCAGAAAAAUCUUUCACUAACAACAGCUUUGCUGCCCACAUCUGCACGCCCUGAACAGUAUCAGAACCAGGUGAAGUACAUGCACUUCAGCCUCAGCAACACAGCCAGAGGAGAAAAAUUCUGACUACCUAAUUAUCCAUUUAAGUCAGAAGACUGAUAAAGCCUGA